Long non-coding RNA from Bubalus bubalis (water buffalo), 476 nucleotides. RefSeq lists it as uncharacterized. The transcript is spliced from 3 exons. NCBI's taxonomy places the organism in Eukaryota, Metazoa, Chordata, Mammalia, Artiodactyla, Bovidae. The record is from RefSeq and is a predicted model, not a curated record.
UCUUCCUCUUUUAGCUUCUGUCUUCCAGUCUGGUACCUCCUAUAGGCCAAACCUGGGCAGGCCAUAGGCUGCAAAGUAGAAAUGAAGGGGACAGCCCCAGCUUUAGCAUCACAGAGUUUAGACUAGAGGGAAUGGACUCAGAAGAGAACUCAAAAACUGGCAGAGCACAAUGGUGACCUAGCGAACUUUUCCCUCAUUGCUCAUGUGACAGCCCCUUCAGAGCAGUCAGUGGGAAGUAUGGGACUUGAGGAACGGCUUCACUUCCCCCUUCAUCACCUUGGAUGAUGCUGACAUGUUCUCAUUCUGCCCUCAAAUUAACCUACACACAGUUGUCCUGGAGCUUCUUGGACACAGGCUGAGAAGAGGAGAAAGUGUCAGAUUCAGUGGGAGACUUGGUGCUCUCUGAAGAGCUCUGAAGCUUAUGUCAUGGGUUUCAUCUUUUAUCUCCUAAUAAAUUAAGAUUUUUAUCUACUGCA